AUUGAACGCUGGCGGCAGGCCUAACACAUGCAAGUCGAGCGGAUGAAGGGAGCUUGCUCCUGGAUUCAGCGGCGGACGGGUGAGUAAUGCCUAGGAAUCUGCCUGGUAGUGGGGGAUAACGUCCGGAAACGGGCGCUAAUACCGCAUACGUCCUGAGGGAGAAAGUGGGGGAUCUUCGGACCUCACGCUAUCAGAUGAGCCUAGGUCGGAUUAGCUAGUUGGUGGGGUAAAGGCCUACCAAGGCGACUAUCCGUAACUGGUCUGAGAGGAUGAUCAGUCACACUGGAACUGAGACACGGUCCAGACUCCUACGGGAGGCAGCAGUGGGGAAUAUUGGACAAUGGGCGAAAGCCUGAUCCAGCCAUGCCGCGUGUGUGAAGAAGGUCUUCGGAUUGUAAAGCACUUUAAGUUGGGAGGAAGGGCAGUAAGUUAAUACCUUGCUGUUUUGACGUUACCAACAGAAUAAGCACCGGCUAACUUCGUG
Molecule: ribosomal RNA, 484 nt
Filed under: uncultured bacterium
Lineage: Bacteria
Description: partial 16S ribosomal RNA
Rfam family: Bacterial small subunit ribosomal RNA
Source: RNAcentral